This 861-nucleotide ribosomal RNA is filed under the name uncultured archaeon. RNAcentral's name for it is "bacterial SSU rRNA". It matches the Rfam family "Archaeal small subunit ribosomal RNA", at positions 6 to 844 of the family's 1478-position model. The record is from RNAcentral.
CCCAUAAGGGGGACCCGACUGCAAUCGGACNGAGAUUGAGCCAUUUGAGUCGAACGACCCCCUGUUGCGGGGGGCGUGGCGUACCGCUCAGCAACCCGUACUCAACCUGCCCUGGACACAUGGACAACCCCGGGAAACUGCGAUUAAUCCGUGAUAGGGUGAGCGGAUCAGGCACGAGAGAUGGCUUAGCGGGGCACAGGGGCUUCUUCCGUGAAUUCGCUCCAUGAUGGGACUGCGUCCCAUCACGCUGUUGGGGGGGUAAUGGCCCACCAAACCUGUAAACAGGGCGAGUUUUGACAGAACCAACCCGGAGAUGGACACUGAUAGAAGGGUCCAGGUCCUAUGGUGCGCACCACGACGCAAAACCUUCGCAAUGCUCGCAGGCGCGACCAGGUUAAUCCGAGUGAUUUCCGUUGAGGAGAUCUUUUGUCAGCAGUAAAAAGACAGGCGAAUAAGGGGAGGGCAAGUCUGGUGUCAGCCGCCGCGGUAAUACCAGCUCCUCGAGUGGUCGGGGACGAUUAUUGGGCCUAAAGCAUCCGUAAAAAGAUCCGUAGGUCUUCUGUUAAAUCCAACCGCUUAACGGUUGGCCUGCAGAGGAUACCACAUGACUAGGAGGCGGGAGAGGCGAACGCUACUCCGCGGGUAGGGGUAAAAUCCUAUGAUCCACAGAAGACCACCAGUGGCGAAGGCGGUCCACCAGAACGCGCUCGACGGUGAGGGAUGAAACCCGCGGGAGCGAACCGGAUUAGAUACCCGGGUAGUCCCAGCCGUAAACGAUGCAAGCUAGAUGAUCCAAUCGCAAAUCGCCAUUGCAGUGUCGCAGGGAAGCCGUUAAGCCCUCCAACUGCCCCGUUCGGUCGC